Molecule: unclassified non-coding RNA, 391 nt
Filed under: soil metagenome
Description: partial contains 5.8S ribosomal RNA, internal transcribed spacer 2, and large subunit ribosomal RNA
Rfam family: 5.8S ribosomal RNA (bases 1-122)
Source: RNAcentral
GAUGAAGAACGCAGCGAAAUGCGAUACUUGGUGUGAAUUGCAGAAUCCCGUGAACCAUCGAGUCUUUGAACGCAAGUUGCGCCCGAAGCCAUUAGGCCGAGGGCACGCCUGCCUGGGCGUCACACGUCGUUGCCCCCCCAUCUACUCCUUCGGGAUUGCGGGGGGCGGAUGAUGGCCUCCCGUGCGCCUCGUCGCGCGGUUGGCAUAAAUACCAAGUCCUCGGCGACGCACGCCACGACAAUCGGUGGUUGCUAAACCUCGGUUGCCCGUCGUGUGCGGUCGUCGCGCAUCGAGGGCUCGAAAAAAUUGCCGGGCUCCGGCUCGGCUUUCAACGCGACCCCAGGUCAGGCGGGGUUACCCGCUGAAUUUAAGCAUAUCAAUAAGCGGAGGA